UACGUAGGGUGCGAGCGUUAAUCGGAAUUACUGGGCGUAAAGCGUGCGCAGGCGGUUCGCCAAGUCAGGUGUGAAAUCCCCGGGCUUAACCUGGGAAUUGCGCUUGAAACUAGCGGGCUUGAGUGUGGCAGAGGGGGGUGGAAUUCCACGUGUAGCAGUGAAAUGCGUAGAUAUCGAGAAGAACGCUCGCAGCGAAAGCGAAGCCCUGGGCAACAUCUGACGCUGAGGUGCGAAAGCGUGGGGAGCAAACAGG
RNAcentral lists this ribosomal RNA (253 nucleotides) under uncultured bacterium. Its description in RNAcentral is "partial 16S ribosomal RNA". It matches the Rfam family "Bacterial small subunit ribosomal RNA", at positions 524 to 776 of the family's 1533-position model. The record is from RNAcentral.